Molecule: ribosomal RNA, 307 nt
Filed under: uncultured Glomus
Lineage: Eukaryota; Fungi; Glomeromycota; Glomeromycetes; Glomerales; Glomeraceae
Description: SSU rRNA
Rfam family: Eukaryotic small subunit ribosomal RNA
Source: RNAcentral
AGCAGCCGUGGUAAUUCCAGCUCCAAUAGCGUAUAUUAAAGUUGCUGCAGUUAAAAAGCUCGUAGUUGAACUUCGGGACCAUCAUGUCGGUCGUGCCUUGGUACGUACUGGCAUUGUUAGUUUCUACCUUCUGACGAACCAUGAUGACAUUUAUUUGGUGUUGUGGGAAAUCAGGACUGUUACUUUGAAAAAUUGAGUGUUUAAAGCAGGCUCACGCUUGAAUACAUUAGCAUGGAAUAAUGAAAUAGGACGUUUGAUUCUAUUUUGUUGGUUUCUAGGAUUGACGUAAUGAUUAAUAGGGAUAGUU